GUGCGGUGGCUCCAUUGCCGGCCGGAAUGAAGCUGGCCGGCGACGACAGACUUCUCGAUUCCGAGCACCGUUUCGCGAAAAGAAAACACCACGGAGUAGAGGAGCUCACCGCGAGUUCAAGGAGGUGCUCGGUUGAGACCGAAGGGCAAGGAGCGGGGCUCGCGGCGCGCGGCAGUCGUCUCCGACCUCGGCGAGAUCCAACCCGCGCAGACACGGUAGCUAGGGCUCGGUUUCGGCGACUUGGAUGCGAAAGGAGAGCUUCGGGGUUGGUUUGAGGGUUUUAUAGGGGCAUGACCCGCGGAUUGGAAGGAAUACCGAGGAAACCGGGAUUUCCUUCGUUCGGUCUCCGGUUCUGUUACGGUGGAGAAGAAGAACAGGGCGCUGACAGGUGGGCCCGGGGUCUUGGGCCUCGGCCUGCUGCUGGCUGCGGCUGGAAGGCUUUUUUUUUUCUAUUUCCAAUUUCUUUUCUGUUUUGUUUUAUUCUCUUUUUUUUCAAAGCCUUUUUCAAAAAGGAUUUUGAGGACAAUUAAAUAUAAACCAAAUACAAUCAUCACAAAAUAAAAUAUGUUUCAGCAUGAAUGCACAAAAUCAUGUUACUAAGCUUAUGAUAAAUUUUAAAUUUCCACAAAAAUUGUUUAUUUGCUACAUUAAAUGCUCACUAAAAUUCUUAAAUAAUUCAAAUUAAAUCCUAUUAAUUGAAAUUCAAAUUUUGGGUGUUACACCUAAUCCAGGCAAUAUUUCAGAAGUUUCUUCAGGUAAUAUUUUAUAUAAUAGUCGAUAUGACAAACCUCUUUACUUACAUUAACUUAUUUCCAUGAAUCCAGAUCUUCAAAUUCUUGAAAUCACUUCACCAGCUAUUCCUAGCUCGGCAAUGGUCUCAACAGAAGAGGUAUGCUAAAUCAUUUAUCUUCAUUUGCUGAUAUCUUCUAACAAGUAUUAAUUUGUUUGUCUAUUGCAGGAACAGGUUUCUUCACCUGAUUUUCCCUUUGCUUUGGAUGAGUAUCUUGAUGAAGAACCAAUCCUAAUCUUAGAAGACACACCUCCAACCAUACCUGAUUUCAUUAAAGCCCAACUGCAAAGAUUGAAUGAUCACCUAGAGCUGG
This 1103-nucleotide long non-coding RNA is filed under the name Sorghum bicolor (sorghum). Its description in RNAcentral is "long non-coding RNA (SBIC_LNC013817)". Lineage: Eukaryota; Viridiplantae; Streptophyta; Magnoliopsida; Poales; Poaceae. The record is from RNAcentral.